UCUCCGUAGGUGAACCUGCGGAGGGAUCAUUACUGAGUGAGGGCUCCGGCCCGACCUCCAACCCCAUGUGAACCGAAACCUGUUGCUUCGGGGGCGACCCUGCCGUUCGGCGCGGCGCCCCCGGGGUCAAUCAAACACUGCAUUCUCUGCGUCGGAGUUUAAAACAAAUUAAACAAAACUUUCAACAACGGAUCUCUUGGUUCUGGCAUCGAUGAAGAACGCAGC
This 225-nucleotide unclassified non-coding RNA is filed under the name uncultured fungus. RNAcentral describes it as "sequence contains ITS1, 5.8S rRNA gene". The stretch from base 177 to 225 matches the Rfam family "5.8S ribosomal RNA", at positions 1 to 49 of the family's 154-position model. The record is from RNAcentral. Lineage: Eukaryota; Fungi.